ACUCCUACGGGAGGCAGCAGUGGGGAAUAUUGGACAAUGGGCGAAAGACCUGAUCCAGCCAUGCCGCGUGUGUGAAGAAGGUCUUCGGAUUGUAAAGACACUUUAAAGUUGGGAGGAAGGGCGAGUAAGUUAAUACCUUGCUGUUUUGUACGUUACCAACAGAAUAAGCACCGGCUAACUUCGUGCCAGCAGCCGCGGUAAUACGAAGGGGUGCAAGCGUUAAUCGGAAUUACUGGGCGUAAAGCGCGCGUAGGUGGUUCAGCAAGUUGGAUGUGAAAUCCCCGGGGCUCAACCUGGGAACUGCAUCCAAAACUACUGAGCUAGAGUACGGUAGAGGGUGGUGGAAUUUCCUGUGUAGCGGUGAAAUCCGUAGAUAUAGGAAGGAACACCAGUGGCGAAGGCUACCACCUGGACUGAUACUGACACUGAGGUGCGAAAGCGUGGGGAGCAAACA
RNAcentral lists this ribosomal RNA (454 nucleotides) under uncultured bacterium. RNAcentral's name for it is "bacterial SSU rRNA". It matches the Rfam family "Bacterial small subunit ribosomal RNA", at positions 335 to 774 of the family's 1533-position model. The record is from RNAcentral.